CGUUAACGGGGGAGGGGACUACAAUAAAAAAAACAAAUGUAGGCAUAUGUAUCACGCCGCGUACUGUGUCAACAUUUAUCACCCCGUGACGUCAUAAUACACAUGACGUAACUUAUAUUGUGUAUAGACUGUUCUGGCAGAUGUGUUGCUGGACCUAGUGUCACACACUUAUUACCAGCACAACAGGCGGAUCAUCGACUAUGAUCACUCGAGCGCGGCUGAUGGAAGAUGAUGAUCUAAGCGGCUGUUUGACGAUGAUGAUCUAAGUGGCAGAUGGACGAUGGUGAUCUAAGCGGCUGAUGGACGAUGAUGAUCUAAGCGGCUGAUGGACUAUGAUGAUCUAAGCGGCUGGUGGACUAUGAUGAUCUAAGUGGCUGAUAGACGAUGAUGAUCUAACUGGCUGAUGGACGAUGAUGAUCUAACUGGCUGAUGGACGAUGAUGAUCUAACUGGCUGAUGGACUAUGAUGAUCUAAGCGGCUGAUGGACUAUGAUGUUCUAAGUGGCUGAUGGACGAUGAUGAUCUAACUGGCUGAUGGACUAUGAUGAUCUAAGCAGCUGAUGGACGAUGAUGAUCUCAGCGGCUGAUGGACGAUGAUGAUCUAAGCGGCUGAUGGACGAUGAUGAUCUCAGCGGCUGAUGGACGAUGGUGAUCUAAGCGGCUGAUGGACUAUGAUGAUCUAAGCGGCUGAUGGACUAUGAUGAUCUAAGCAGCUGAUGGACUAUGAUGAUCUAAGUGGCUGAUGGAAGAUGAUGAUCUAACUGGCUGAUGGACGAUGAUGAUCUAAGCGGCUGAUGGACUAUGAUGAUCUAAGCGGCUGAUGGAAGAUGAUGAUCUAACCGGCUGUUUGACGAUGAUGAUCUAAGUGUCUGAUGGACGACGAUGAUCUAAGUGGCUGAUGGACUAUGAUGAUCUAAGCGGAUGAUGGACUAUGAUGAUCUAAGUGGUUGAUGGACGAUGAUGAUCUAACUGGCUGAUGGACGAUGAUGAUCUAAGCGGCUGAUGGACUAUGAUGAUCUAAGUGGGUGAUGGACGAUGAUGAUCUAAGCGGCUGAUGGACUAUGAUGAUCUAAGUGGCUGAUGGACGAUGAUGAUCUAACUGGCUGAUGGACGAUGAUCAUCUCAGCGGCUGAUGGACGAUGAUGAUGUCAGCCACUGGUGGACGAUGAUGAUCUGUGCGGCUGAUGGACUAUGGUGAUCUAAGCGGCUGAUGGACUGAUGAUCUAAGCGCCUGAUGGACUAUGAUGAUCUAAGCAGCUGAUGGACUAUGAUGAUCUAAGUGGCUGAUGGACGAUGAUGAUCUAACUGGCUGAUGGACGAUGAUGAUCUAACUGGCUGAUGGACGAUGAUGAUCUAACUGGCUGAUGGACGAUGAUGAUCUCAGCGGCUGAUGGACGAUGGUGAUCUAAGUGGCUGAUGGACUAUGAUGAUCUAAGCGGCUGAUGGACUAUGAUGAUCUAAGCGGCUGGACUAUGAUGAUCUAAGUGGCUGAUAGACGAUGAUGAUCUAACUGGCUGAUGGACGAUGAUGAUCUAACUGGCUGAUGGACGAUGAUGAUCUCAGCGGCUGAUGGACGAUGGUGAUCUAAGUGGCUGAUGGACUAUGAUGAUCUAAGCGGCUGAUGGACUAUGAUGAUCUAAGCGGCUGAUGGACUACGAUGAUCUAAACGGCUGAUGGACUAUGAUGAUCUAAGUGGCUGAUGGACGAUGAUGAUCUAAGCGGCUGAUGGACUAUGAUGAUCUAAGUGGCUGAUGGACGAUGAUGAUCUAAGUUGCUGAUGGACGAUGAUGAUCUAAGCGGCUGAUGGACGAUGAUGAUCUGAGCGGCUGAUGGACGAUAAAAAAUGAUCUGAACAGCUGGUGGACGAUGAUGAUCUAAGCGGCUGAUGGACGAUGAUGAUCUCAGCGGCUGAUGGAGGAUAAUGAUCUGAGCGGCUGAUGGACGAUGAUGAUCCGAGCGGCUGAUGGACGAUGAUGAUCUGAGUGGCUGGUGGACGAUGAUUUCUAAGCAACAGGUUGACAGCCUACAGCAUUAUCUCUUAAUGGUUGCUAUAUUGCUGACAGUUCGUUUUCUCCAUACAUAGAUACACUUGAAUACAUGAACAGUGUUAUUUCUUGGGUAGGAAAAAGUCACCUUAUAUAUUAUUAUGUCUGAGAAAGAAUAUCAGUUAUCGUCAUCACGUUAAACUUUCUUGUAGAAUGCUAUCCAGGUCCUGGUGUGUUGCACGACCCGAUGGUGCGAUGAACAAUUAGCUAUAGAGCUACGAUGUGUUGAUGUAUCGCUCCAUAGCUCAUCGCACCACUCCAUUGUUCAUCACACCAUCGGGUCAACGUGCAAUGCAUCACACAGUCGCAUCGUACAUGGUAUGAUGUGUUGCACUACCCGAUGGCGUAAUGAACAUUUGGAGUGACGCGAUUAGCUGUAGAGCGAUAUGAUGUGUCGAUGUAUCGCUCCAUAGCUCAUCGCACCACUCCAUUGUUCAUCACACCAUCGGGUCAACGUGCAAUGCAUCACACAGUCGCAUCGUACAUGGUAUGAUGUGUUGCACUACCCGAUGGUGUAAUGAACAUUUGGAGUGACGCGAUUAGCUGUAGAGCGAUAUGAUGUGUCGAUGUAUCGCUCCAUAGCUGAUCGCAUCACUCCAGAGUUCAUCAUGCCAUCGGAUUAUCAUGCAAUGCAUCCCACAGUCGCAUCGUACAUGGUAUGAUGUGUUGCACACACCCGAUGGUGCGAUUAACAAUCGCAGGAUGGAGUGAUGCGAUUAGCUAUAGAGCGAUACGGUAUGUCGAUUUUCGCUUUGUGGCUGAUAGCACCACUCCAGAGUUCAUCACACCAUCGGGUCAACAUGCAAUGCAUCACACAGUCGCAUCGUACAUGGUAUGAUGUGUUGCACUACUCGAUGGUGCGAUGAACAAUCGCAGGAUGGAGUGAUGUGAUUAGCUAUAGAGCGAUACGAUGUUUCGAUGUAUCGCUCCAUAGCUCAUCGCACCACUCCAUUGUUCAUCAAACCAUCGGCUUAACGUGCAAUGCAUCACACAGUCGCAUCGUACAUCGUAUGAUGUGUUGCAUGACCCGAUGAUGCGAUGAAUAUUUGGAGUGACGCGAUUAGCUGUAGAUCGAUACGAUGUGUUGGUGUUUUGCUCCAUAGCUCAUCGCAUCACUCCACUAUCCAUCACGCCAUCAGCUUAAUGUCAAAUGCAUCACACAGUUGGAUCGUGGAUAGCAUCACGGUAUCAAUCAUACUUUUAAAUUUUUAUGGCGAUUAAAAAUGAUGUUCUUUCUCGGCCAUCCUAUAUAUUUUCUCUGUCUACCGACAUCAAAAAGAGAUUUUUGCAGUCAGCUAUUCCAGUGUAUAGUGUGUGCUACUAUAAUGUAUAAUAGCUAAAACAUUAUGACGUGCCAUUUUCUAGUGAAUGGGGUUAAGAGUGGAGUUAUGUACAAUAAUAAACGAACAUAAUCUGUCAUAUUUCAUUGUACAUGGGAGAAGUGGUGUUAUGUAUAAUUAUAAAACAAACUCCAGUAAUAUUACAAUGUUUCGGAGAGGGGUGAUGUUAUAUAUAAUAAAAAAAUAAUAUAGCCGGCAAUAAUCCCAUGUAUUUUGGUGUGGGAGUGCAGGAUGUGUUCAUGUGUGUAAUACACAGUGGAUGAGUGUAGUCUACUAGAUUCCAGUGUAUGAUGGGAAGCUUCAAGGGGUGGUAUUAUGUAUAAUUGUAAAACAAACCAUCCUGCUAUAUUGCAGUGUAUGGAAAAGAAGUAGUGUUACGUACAUAACAAAAUAUUCCUGUUGUAUUCCAGAGUAUAGGCAAUAGGAUGGUAUUAUGUAUGAUAACAAAAACAACAUAGCCUGCUCUAUUGCAGUGUAUAGAAGAGAAGUGGUGUUACGUACAUAACACAAUAUUCCUGUUGUAUUCCAGUGUAUAGACAAUGGGAUGGUAUUAUGUAUUAUAACAAAAACAAUAUAGCCUGCUCUAUUGCAGUGUAUAGAAGAGAAGUGGUGUUAUGUACAUAACACAAUAUUAGUGUUGUAUUCCAGUGUAUGGGCAAUGGGAUGGUAUUAUAUAUGAUAACAAAACCAAUAUAACCUGCAAUACUGCAGUGCAUAGAAGAGAAGUGGUCUUACUUGCAUAACACAAUAUUCUUGUUCUAUUCCAGUGUAUAGACAAUGAGAUGGUAUUAUGUAUGAUAACAAAAACAAUAUAGUCUGCUCUACUGCAGUGUAUAGAAGAGAAGUGGUGUUAUGUACAUAACACAAUAUUAGUGUUGUAUUCCAGUGUAUAGACAAUGGGAUGGUAUUAUGUAUGAUAACAAAAGCAAUAUAACCUGCAAUACUGCAGCAUAUGGAAGAGAAGUGGUCUUACGUAUAUAAUAACAAAAUAUUCCUGUUGUAUUCCAGUGUGUAGGCAAUGGGAUGGUAUUGUGUAUGAUAACAAAAACAAUAUAGCCUGCUAUAUUACAAUACUCUAGCUGAGGGAGUCGUGCCAUUUGUAAAUAUAUUGUAUAUAUUUUGUUAUAUUAAAUGUACCUUUUCGUAUGUAUAAACUUGUGUCAUUUUAUCAAUAAACUUUAUUCAAAUA
Molecule: long non-coding RNA, 4573 nt
Filed under: Gigantopelta aegis
Lineage: Eukaryota; Metazoa; Mollusca; Gastropoda; Neomphalida; Peltospiridae
Description: uncharacterized LOC121370327
Source: RNAcentral